This 492-nucleotide ribosomal RNA is filed under the name uncultured bacterium. RNAcentral's name for it is "partial 16S ribosomal RNA". It matches the Rfam family "Bacterial small subunit ribosomal RNA", at positions 29 to 507 of the family's 1533-position model. The record is from RNAcentral.
AGUGAACGCUGGCGGUAGGCCUAGCACAUGCAAGUCGAACGGCAGCACAGUAAGAGCUUGCUCUUACGGGUGGCGAGUGGCGGACGGGUGAGGAAUACAUCGGAAUCUACUUUUUCGUGGGGGAUAACGUAGGGAAACUUACGCUAAUACCGCAUACGACCUACGGGUGAAAGCAGGGGAUCUUCGGACCUUGCGCGAGUGAAUGAGCCGAUGUCGGAUUAGCUAGUUGGCGGGGUAAAGGCCCACCAAGGCGACGAUCCGUAGCUGGUCUGAGAGGAUGAUCAGCCACACUGGAACUGAGACACGGUCCAGACUCCUACGGGAGGCAGCAGUGGGGAAUAUUGGACAAUGGGCGAAAGCCUGAUCCAGCCAUACCGCGUGGGUGAAGAAGGCCUUCGGGUUGUAAAGCCCUUUUGUUGGGAAAGAAAAGCAGCAGGUUAAUACCCCGCUGUUCUGACGGUACCCAAAGAAUAAGCACCGGCUAACUUCGUG